GUUGCUGAAAUGAGUUUCAGUGCUGGAUCAGUAAUAGCAAACCCUAUCAUUGUUUUCCACACAGUGGAAAUCAAUCCGAUAGUGGUGAAGUAUCUCUUCCUGGAUUAUAUGCAACGCAAUCCUGACACCCUUCUCCAAAUUAAUCAAACAUUUACUAAAAAUAUUGAAACACCAGCACAAGCUGUGGUUCCAAACCAAACCGCAACCACCACCCCAGCUACAACAAUGACAACUACAUCAACCACUCCACUGACUCCAACUACGAAAGUUCCAACAACAACCGCCACAUUGACUCCAGCUACAACAACAAAAGUUACAACAACAACCACCAGA
Esox lucius (northern pike) is the source of this 333-nucleotide long non-coding RNA. RefSeq lists it as uncharacterized. NCBI's taxonomy places the organism in Eukaryota, Metazoa, Chordata, Actinopteri, Esociformes, Esocidae. The transcript is spliced from 3 exons. The record is from RefSeq and is a predicted model, not a curated record.